RNAcentral lists this ribosomal RNA (469 nucleotides) under uncultured bacterium. Its description in RNAcentral is "partial 16S ribosomal RNA". It matches the Rfam family "Bacterial small subunit ribosomal RNA", at positions 28 to 507 of the family's 1533-position model. The record is from RNAcentral.
GACGAACGCUGGCGGCGCGCUUAACACAUGCAAGUCGAACGGAAAGGCCCUGCUUGCAGGGUGCUCGAGUGGCGAACGGGUGAGUAACACGUGGGUGAUCUGCCCCUUACUUUGGGAUAAGCCUGGGAAACUGGGUCUAAUACUGGAUAGGAACAUGCUGUAGGUGGUGUGGUGGAAAGAUUAGUUUCGGUAAGGGGUGAGCUCGCGGCCUAUCAGCUUGUUGGUGGGGUAAUGGCCUACCAAGGCGUCGACGGGUAGCCGGCCUGAGAGGGUGGACGGCCACAUUGGGACUGAGAUACGGCCCAGACGCCUACGGGAGGCAGCAGUGGGGAAUAUUGCACAAUGGGCGCAAGCCUGAUGCAGCGACGCCGCGUGGGUGAUGACGGCCUUCGGGUUGUAAACUCCUUUCAGCCAUGACGAAGCCCUUGUGGUGACGGUAGUGGUAGAAGAAGCACCGGCUAACUACGUG